UUAAUUCAUCCCAUAUUAUAUAUAUAAUUUAAUUUCAAUGCAUUUAUGUAUCUCUAACACACACACACACUCUCUCUCUCUCUCUCUAUGCAUACAUGUUUCGAUGAUCUCAGGUCAUAACAAUAACAAGGCAUCAUCGGUAUUGAAAGUGGUGCACAAACAUGGGCCAUGCUCCAAAUUCCACAAAUCAUCAAAAACUUCAACCACAACUAGUGAUGAAAAAUACCAUGCUCAAAUCCUCGAGCAAGACCAGGCCCGAGUCAACUCAAUCCACUCCCGCCUCAACCACAACAACAACAAAGACCCACUCACCCAAUCCGCCGCCACCACCCUCCCCGCCAAGUCUGGUAUCGUUAUCGGCUCAGGGAACUACAUUGUCACCGUCAGCCUCGGUACACCAGCCAAGCAACUCUCCCUCGUCUUCGACACUGGCAGCGACCUCACCUGGACCCAAUGCCAGCCAUGUCCUACUACUCGGUCUUGUUACAAACAGACUGAGCCCAUCUUCAACCCUUCUCUCUCCGCCUCAUACAAAAAGAUCCCAUGUACCACCGCCGCGUGUACUCAGCUCCCAUCCUCCGGCCUCGAACAAAGCUGCUCCGCCUCCACCUGCCUUUACAUCGCCGUUUACGGUGACAACUCCUUCUCUAAAGGGGUAUUUGGCAGCGAAAAGCUUACAUUGACCCCUACGGACGUUUUUGAAAGUUUCCUCUUCGGCUGCGGCCUAGACAACGGAGGCCUAUUCAGAGGAUCCGCCGGUUUGCUAGGUCUCGGCCGGAGCAGCAUCUCCUUCGUCGAGCAAACCGCCAAUAAAUACAACCGGUUCUUCUCCUACUGCCUCCCGUCGACUUCCAGCUCCACCGGUCACCUCACCUUCGGUGACGGAGGCUCUCCUAACGGCGUUAAGUUCACGAAGCUCAUCACGUCAUCCCAAAGCGAGUCGUUUUACGGCCUCGGCCUCGCCGGCAUCAAAGUCGGUGGGAGCCAGCUGUCGAUUGCGCCCUCGGUCUUUUCGUCUUCUGGAACGAUCAUCGACUCGGGGACGGUGAUCACGAGGUUGCCGGCGACGGCAUACGCAGUGUUGCGGGGCGCGUUUCGGGAGGCGAUGAAGAACUACACACUGACUAAUGGCGAUUCGUUGCUGGACACGUGUUACGAUUUCAGCGGCUUGAACACGGUGUCAUAUCCGAAGAUAGCGUUUGUGUUUGGGGAUGGACUUACGGUGGACUUGGACGCGACCGGGAUAUUGUUUCCGAUAAGUCCUUCGCACGUUUGCUUGGCGUUUGCCGGAAACAAGGAUGAUAGAGACGUCGGGAUUAUUGGGAAUCUUCAACAGAAGAGGUUGGAGGUUGUGUAUGACGUGGCCGGAGGAAAAGUCGGAUUUGCCCCUGCAGGUUGCGAUUGAGUAAUGACGUCGUCCAUGGGUAUAAGUGUAAUACAAACAGCUUGCUAGCUAUAGAAUAAAGCAUUGGGUUACAUAUUUGUGUGUAAUGUUUGUCUGUUGUAAGUCGGUGUCUCCUGUUUUUCUUUUUUGGGUUCUUAUUCUUAAGGGAAAUACCCAUGUAAUUCUUAUUUUCUAGAUAUAAAUUUAACUAUUUCUAAAUAUUUAAGAUAAGUCUUAAACCCAAAUUCCAAAUAUGCUGUCAUUUAAGAUAAUAUAUAUUUGUCCUAGUAUUAUCAGUUAAAUUACAAUAUGUGCCAUUAACCUUCAUCAAUUCCUUCCUUUGUUUGCAACUAAAUUUCAUUUUAGAAUCUAAACCGAACUCUGUGCGUGUCCGACACUUGGCGGGUGCCGGGCACACUUGACUAAAUUGCGCUUCUAACGAAACCGAAGUUCAUCUCAAGUUUGACUUCUGUUGAAAAUUCGGCAGAAUCUUCCAUGUAAAUAGUCGCUACCCCAAAUUGCAUGAAGUUUACAUUCAAGCAAUCCAACAACAUAACUAUAUGGCCUUAGGCUUUACAGAAAUCCUAGGGCAAUUUCAGAGCAAUACUAAUCAGUUUAAUUUACAGGAAUAGUUCAAUUAUAAAAGAAAUCCUACAUAGCGGAAAAGAUGAGUGAAGAGUGGUGACUACCCUGUGGUGGCGCUCUGGUACACGACUACUGCCUUAGGGUGCAAAACAUUUAAAAGUGUGAGUGGACAAAAAUAAACUUUUGGAAAAUAGAAUAUUAACAUACUAACCCCACUGUUAAAACAUUAUGUUCUAUAUUCGUACAAGAAUAAAGACAUACAUAUAACUAAUCACGCAUUCAAAUUCUCAAAACCUUUUGAAGGCACUGUAAAGAAAUAAUAUAUUUCUCACUUAGGUGUACCCAUCAUAUAUCCGUCAAUUCCAUGGUCUUUUACUUAUUUCCCAUAUUAUACCCUCAAUUCCUUGUGUCACAUAAUGCGACACAUCCUCGCAAGUCUCGGAAACACAAAGUCACCGGAGCCGCAUUCCUCGCAAGACUCAGGGGACAUUAAGUCAACCUGAGCCGCAUUCCUCGCACCACACGGUUCGGGCAUCCUCGAAACUAGUGGGGCAUUGUCAAACGCGCACUGACUCAACCGAACGCAACUAGAAUGUCCGUGGACAUUAUUAUAACCGUAGGCAACAAUUUUAUCCGAAGGCAACAUAUUAUUCGAAGGCAACAUAUUAUCUGAAUGCAACAUUUUAUCCGAAGGCAACAUCUUGGGUACCUAUGGUGGUUUAAAAAUAUUUCUUAGAAAAAUUAUACUUUUAUUUCUCAAUAAAUCCUUCAAUCAUAUUAUCACUUCCUUUCCUACUUUCCAAGCCUUUUAAACAUGAACAAAAUUUAAUAAAGAUAUUUGAAUUCAAAUAUUUAUGCUUGGAAAGUAAUAGUCAUAAAUAAUUCAUUCAAAAUCAAUCAAUGAAACUUUAAUUGCAUAAAAUUCAUUUACAAAACAAAAGUUCACUCACUGAGCAUCCGAGCUAGCCUGACUCUUUGAGGGUCUUUCCUGCACGUUCAACGAAAUCUGAGUACCUAUUUAAGCAAUUAAAACAUUUUAUUAAUAAAAUAGCUCAACCACAAUUACUUAUUCAACACCCUGACCCCCGGCCUCAUAAGUGCGUGUACGUGACUUACAAAGGUUACUAGGCCCAUUUUCAACAUUUCUGACAGGUGGAAUGGUCUGAAAAGACCCGAGUUUAAAAAAGCGAUUAAAUUUCCAUAUUGGUAAAUCCGGUACCCCGUCGGGUCCACGACCGCCGAUUACCCAUCUAAGAGUUCCUAUAGGUUCAACACACUUUACUAAACAUGCCCUGCAAGUUUGGUCCGAAUCGAACGAUCGGAUUACUCACGAUCGCACGAUUAUCGUUUAACUUAAACUUUGAAAUAUUGAAUCAGAGUAUCCGAAACUCCGAUUCUCGAUCCGCGAAUUUCUACAUGAUCCCAGAAGCGCCUAAAUCAACCUAAUUGAAAAUGAAGUAGAUCCAACGGUCCCAACAUAUCAAACCAGGAUAACGCCUAAUAUACGAUAUCUGAUCGACGAUCAAACAAUAACCAAAUUGAAAUUCGAGUAUACCGUCGCGCUCAGGACGACGUGGGGAUCAUUCUGGGACAAAAAUCCAACAUUGACACCCCGCCGACGCGCCGCCACCACUGGCAGGUAUAUUGAGUAAUUUUUCGGCGAUCGAAAAACUCCGAACUGCCAGUCAAUAAUCAUACCUACGGAUUAAGCACAUCAAGAGGAGUAAAUAUCAUGAAUCCAAUUGACAUUGGAACAAAGUUGCAAGGUUUGGAAAUGAAUGUAGAUGAAGAUAUGAUGGUUCAUAUUGCUUAGAAUUCACUAUCUAAGGAGUUUAAGUCUCUCAGAGAUACCUACAUUUCUCAAAAGGAAAGCUGGACACGGGAUGAUCUUAUCACCAUAUGUGUUGAACAGUAACACAAUAUAAUAAGAGAAAGAGAUGAAAAAAUGGUGAAUCAGAUGCAGUCAAAGCAAAAUAAGGAAUAUAGGAACAAAGCCAUUGCAGCUGGAAAAGAGAAAGAAAAUGAAAAGGAUAAUAACAGUCCAAAUGCUCUGAAACCAGUGGGAUUGAAAUGCUUCUUCUAUAAGAAAACUGGACAUAUGAAAAAGGAAUACAUAAGGUAUAAGAAAUGGUUGGACAAACAGAAAACUAAAGGUAAAAGUGAUCAAGUUUUGGUUUGCUUUGAAUCUAAUUUAGUUGAUUUUAUUGAUGAUUCAUGGUGGUUAGACAGUGGUGCAUCUAUUCAUGUGACUAAUUCUUUGCAAGGGUUCAUAAAGAGGAGGCUGCCAAGCAAGGAUGAAGUGAAGGUGUUCGUAGGAAAUGGUAGGGGUGGCAUUUUAAACCGAAAAACCGAAAAACCGCAAAAAUCAACCGAUAUUUUACCGCAAUAAAACCGCAAUCGCGGUAAACCGAACCGCAAUCGCGGUAUUAAGAACCGAACCGCAUUUACGGUUGCGGUUGCGGUAUUUGAUUUUCAAAAUUUGCAGUUACCGCAAACCGCAAAGUAUAGCCGCACGGCUAUACUCUAUGAAUAAUUAAGUAAAAUUGUAAACCCUUCUCUUCUCUUGAAUUGGUGGAAAGGGAACCAAACAAGAUAUCCUAUUCUUUCACAAGUUGCCAAGGAUAUCUUUGCAAUUCCAAGUUCUACGGUUGCUAGUGAAAAUGCUUUUAGCCUAGGCAAGAGGAUUGUGGAUCCUUUUAGAAGCUCUUUGCAUCCUAAAAUGGUAGAGGCAUUAGUGUGUACUAGUGAUUGGCUUAGAGCGGACGAAUUUUCCUUUUACAAGGAACCAACAGAUGAUGAGGUUGAAUUCUACAAGGAAAUGGAAGAUAUGACAACUUGUAAGUAAUUAGUUUAUUUAUGCUAAUGUUAUUUAUGCUUCUUCUUAUAAUAAAAUGUACUAAACUAUGUUGUUUUAUUUGUAGAUAGCAUUGGUGCUCAAACAAUACAAAGGGGUUCUUCAAAUCCACUCACCACCAACACUUGAGUUUGUAACAUUGGUGUAUUGCAUUUUUCCUUUUAGUUUGUAACUUUAAUUAACUGUGAAUUGGAUUUUUCUUUUUGAUUGUAACUUUAAUUCAUUUUGCUUUUGGUUUGUAAAUUUAAAGGAUUUGGAAUUGGAAUGCUUGAGAAGUUUAACUUUAAUUGGAAUGUUUGGAAUUGUAACUUUAAUUUUCUUAGGUUGUGAAUGCUUGAGAAUUGGAAUCGAUUGUGAAUUUAUAUAUGCUUGAGAAAUUGAGGUUGUAUAUUUAUUUAUUUAGGUUGUAAAUUUAUAUUUUUGUGAAUGCUUGAGAAUUUGCGGUUUUAAACCGCAAAUUCUCGGUAACCGACCGCAUUUUUGCGAUUUACCGCAAUGCGGUAAACCGCAAAACGCGGUCGGUUUGCGGUUUCAAAAAUCACCAAACCGCAAAUAGUCGGUCGGUUUGCGGUUUGAAUAAAAAUUCGCGGUUACCGAACCGCAACCACCCCUAGGAAAUGGAGAAAAGUGCAAGUAGAUAAUAUUGGAGUAGUUAGGAUUGAACUAGAUUCUUGUUUUGUUUUUUAUUUAGAAGAUGUGGUUUAUGUUCCUUCAAUGAGCAAGAAUCUCAUCUCAGUUACUAGGCUUGUAAAGUCAAAGUUCACUUUGAACUUUGAUGAUUUUGGUUGUUCUAUUUUUAGAAAUAAAAGCUUAAUUGGAAAAGCAAGUAUUGUGGAUGGUAUGUUUCGAUUAAACUGCAAAAAAACUAUGCAAAUCAACUUAGUUCAAUCCAAACCAUGCAAAGAAUUAUAUUUUAAAUUGUGGCAUAAGAGACUUAGACGUAUUUCAAAGGCAAGAAUCAAUACUUUAUGCAAAGAAUUAGUUGUACCACCAUUGAAUCAUGAUAAUGCAGAUGAUAUAUGCCUAGAAUGUACAAAGGGAAAAUUGACCAACCUAAGAAAGAACGGUGUUGUAAGAAGUCAAAGUGUAUUAGAAUUAAUCCAUACAGACAUAUGUGGACCAUUCCCAACUCCAUCAUGAAAGGUUUAACUACUUCAUCACUUCUACAGAUGACUAGUCGAGAUUUGGACAUGUUUUUUUAAUCAAAGAAAAAUCCAGUGCUUUGGACAUGUUCAAAAUUUAUAAAGCUGGAGUGGCACUACUACAAAAAAGCAAAAAGACGACGGUAAAUCACCGUCGUGUAUUCGGUUUUUCAAUGGUCGUGGAAUCCACCAUCAUCUUUUCCCUCAUAAACCACGACGCUAAAUCACCGUCGUUGUUAAAAUAUACAACGUCAUCAACAAAUACAAAACGACGUCUUUGUACUGCAAAAAGAUCUAAAAAAGCAGUCGAGGAUGAGAAUAGACGACCAACUCUCUAAAAAAACCGUCGUUAAAAAGGAAAAAUAUGACACAUAUUAAGAGAACAAGGCCGCAAGAUAGACAUACAACGACGAAAAUAAAAAUACGACGCCGUUAAAUAUCAUUUUCACGACAAUAAAAAAUUUGACAUCUUUAAAUACAUUAGAAGACGACGUUAUUGAUACCUACUACGUCGCAUAUAUAAAAACAGUCGUCGUAAAAUUAAUUUUCCACUUCGAUUUUUCGAUAAAAGAUGACGUGGAAAUAGUUGUCAGUGUCAUUAUUUACGACGUAUGUAUUUAUAGAGUAGACGUUGAAAAACGAAACAACGUCGGUUACAAAUAUAUGAGAGUCGUAUUACAAAAUUUAUACGUCAUAUUUUCAGAAACAAACAACGACGAUAAAUAUUAGACGUUGUUAAAUAAAACAACGUCGGAAAACAAUAAAAACAGACGUGUUUAGUCUGCUAAAGUUCUAGAAAAUAGUCGAGGAUGAGAAUAGACGACCAACUCAAACAAAUCACCGUCGUUAAAAAAGAAAAAUAUGACACAUGUUAAAAGAACAAGGCCGCAAGAUAUACAUACAACGACGACAACUAAAAUACUACGCCGUUAAAUAUAAUUUACACGACAAGAAAAAAUAUGACGUCUUUAAAUACAUGAGAAGACGACGUUAUUGAAAUAUACUACGUCUCUUAUUUACAAACAACCGUCGUGAAAUAAAUUUUUCACUUCGAUUUUUCUAAAAAAGAUGACGUGGAAAUAGUUGUCAGUGUCAUUAUUUACGACGUAUGUAUUUAUACAGUUGACGUUGAAAUGCGAAACAACGUCGGUGGCAUUUAUAUAGUCGACGUUGUAUUUAUAUCUAUCAUCAUUACUCACGACACACUUAAUAAUAUAGACGACGUUGAACUUCUAAACAACGUCGGUUCCAAAUAAAUGAGAGCCGUAUUACAGAACAUAUAGACGGCGUUGAUUAUGAUGAGAGCCGUAUUACAAAUAACGUCGUUUAAUUGUUAUUAGACGGCGGUUAUAAUGAAUUUCCGUCGGAAUUCAUUUCGUUCCUCUUCGUUUAUAAAAGAACUUGCGACGUGAAAAAUGUAUGAUGACGUCGUAUUUUUUAACGUUCAGAUUAUAUAUCUCGUUUUUUAGACGUCGGUAUUAUGGGAUUGGAGUCGUGUUAUUUUGAAUUACAUGGCGGUUCUUAAUCCUUCCCCGACGUGAUAUCCUGAAUAAUUGCUUCACAAUAGCGUCGUGGUUCUUCAUUGUUACGUUGCUUUAAGACGUCGGUAAAUAUGCUGAAUAACUGGUUCACAAUAACGUCGUGUUUUAUUUGAACGUAGAAAGUGAAGAAAUCACAUUACAAUAUAUUAUAAAAUUAAUGUCAUACACUGCCAAUUACAUAAGCAUCAUUCAAUCCAUAUAUCUUCACACCCAUCUCGAAUAUUUUGACCGCCUAACUCACCCACCAGUUCAUCAAAUGUGUCAACAUUUGGCAUCCCUCUAGUAAAUGGCUCACACUCAAUUAUCACAUCACCUAAGACUUCAUCACCAAUAACAUCAUUAUAUUCUCUAUUAGGCAUUGAUAACACUACUGACCAACCACGAUGCAUCGGGUCGUCAACAAAAAAUAUUUGUUUGACUUGAGAAGCCAAAACAAAUUGGUCAUUCCUAUGUCCAAUUUUACUCAAAUCUACAAGGGUAAAUCCAAGUUCGUCGACUACAAGACCAGAACUAUCUAUCCAAUCACACCUAAAGACUGGGAUUGUAAACUUUUGGUAGUCAAGGUCCCAAAUUUCUUGAAUGACACCAUAGAAACCCAUAUUUGAGAGAAUUGGGUUUUUAUCCUUGGCACUAACACAUGGACAACGGAUAUGUAUUGUAGUUAGAAGAUUUUCUACAGCAAAGUUCAAAAAUGCUUCCACCCCAAAUUCAUAUGCCUUCGAUCUUCUAUCCGAGUGCAUCCAUGACUUAUCCAUCUCCGACACUAUAACCUAUUAUCUAUAAUAAAGUGAAAAUACAGGCAAUGACCAUCACUAUAGCAGAUUAUACAAUGAUCUAAUCGCAAGUAAUACACAACAGAGACGACGGGUUUUAAACAAAAACAGACGUAUUUGGCAUAUAUAGACGACGGAUUUUCAACAGACGUCGUCUAUUAUAAGUAAUACAAACGACGGUUUAUGAAAAAACCGUCGUGUAUAAGUAAUACAACGACGGUAGUUUAAAAAAACCGUCGUGUAAUCGUCGUCGUAUGCCUUAAAAUUUGUCGUGUCUCAGUUUAUUUUCAAGAACACAAAACCCAUUAAGAACACAACAUAUAUAUGAAACCAAGCAAGAAACCAACAUAUACAUGAAACCAAGCAUGAAAACAAUAAAUCCAUUCCCAAUUCAACAUAACAUAGGGUGAUUAAAAGAUACGACAAAAUUAAAUCCAUUCCCAAUUCAACAUAACAGAUAAUGUAAUCCAUGAACCCAUUAAACAGAAAAUCCAUGAACCCAUACCUAUAAGCACAUUAUUAACAGAUCGCAAAGCAUACACAUAAAACCCUUUAACAAAACAACCUAAUAUCACUCGAAUCGUUACUAGAAUCAUCACUCGAAUCCCCAUCUUCAUUAUCAGUUUCUUCCUUCGUAGGUACUAUUUGCUCCCCAUCAUUGGUGCACUUUGCACCUUCUCCAGAGCGGAAAAUGACAAGAUCAAAUAAAGGUGUACUUUUGCUGGAAAUCAACAUAAAAAGACACAGAUCACCAACUUCCAAAUGAUUGUCACGCACAACGUCCAUCCAACUACGCCUGAAUAAGAGCCAAAUCUAAAAAAAUUUAGGUCGCGCGAAAAUUUUUAGAGCUCGCGCGUUUUAAAACGUCGAAAGAAAAACCAAGGCGAAAGUUCUACAAGUACCGACGUAAAUUUAAUAUUCCACGACGGAAACUUCAUUUUUCGGAUUAAGAACGUAAGGCCGUUCAUUUUGAAGCUUCAUUUUUCGGAUUAAUUUUAAAUUUAUUUUGAAUUUUUUAUAUAACGACGACUGAAAAACCACGUCGGUGUUAAGAAAUUAAAGACGUUGUAAAUUAUAUAAACCGACUUACAUAUUAAAAUGACGUCGUUUAAAGCGUAAACCAUGUCGUAUGUUUUUCUGUACGACGUAAAAUAUGUAUUCCACGACGCAACCACCGUCGUUAAAAAUUAAUACCCUAAACCCAUAAAACUAAAUUAUACAAUUUAAAAAAUUAAGUUUAUAAAAGGUUUUAUGGUUUUAAAGCCUAACAUAUACCCUAGACUACCCAAAAAUUAUACUUUAAAAAUAAACCCCAAUAAAUAACAACCCUAAUCUCUAAACCCUAGACUCUAAACCCUAAACCAUAAAACUAGAAGUGAUUUUAUGACUCAUAAAAACAAUUUUGUUUUGGAUGGUCAUUUUAAAUUUUUGUUAUUCAAAAUGAAUUUUUUCAAGGUUUAUGUGGAAGAAAAUAUAUCAAUGACUUCAUAGGAGUUGACUUUUCAAUUUUCUGAUUUAUUUUAAAUUUAUUUUGAAUAUUUUGAUAUAAAAAUAAUAAAAUAUUCUUACCACAACAAUAAACCACGUCGGUGUUAAUAAAUUGUAGACGUUGUAAAUUGUAAUAGACUACUAAGUCGUUAAAAUGACGUCGUUAAAAUGAGAAACCAUGGCGGCUAUUUAACUAUACGACGUAAAAUAUAUAUUCCACGACUUAACCGCUGUCGUUACAUAAACGUCGUCGAUGAUACCCUGAACCCUUAAGAAAUUGAAGAUGUUGUAAACCAUAAACGACUCAAUUGUUCAAAGAACGUCGUCUAACUAUAUUUUUACGUCGUAUUUGUUUAAAACACGAAACAACAAAAUACGACGGUUUUUGACUUUAUUAGGUCGUUGGAAAAGUAUUACACGUCGGUUAAGCAAUUUGUAUGUUUGUUUUUUUUUUAAUUUAAGAAAACCUCAACAAAUUUUUACAUUACAUAUUAUAGAGAAAAUUUGUACAUUAUACAUAAAUAUCAAGUGUUCAAUAAUUGCCCUGUUUAAUAAUUUGGAAAACAAACUCUGCCCAUUCAUUCCGGACUUCAUCAAUGGCUUCUUGGGGGUAUGAAGCUUCCUGGUUUCCCUUGGCAUACUGCAUAAACAAUGACUAUUAGGGUUUAUAAAUAAAAAGAAAUUCAAUCACAGACGACGAUAUUUUUCAUAACCGACGUAGUAUAUCCAUUCAACGACGUUAAUUUUACAUGACCGUCGUUGAUAAUACAAAAAACGACGUGAAAUGUAUGAAGGUAAUUUCUUCUUACCUUAUUCUCAAACCCCAAGGAAGGAUCCAUGAUGAUGUCCCUCAUGAAGCGCAUCACAUAAUACCCGCAUUCGACAUUGCUGGGUUGCUUUGGUGUGCCUGAGAGAGUUUUCCAAAUUACAUUUUUACGUCCUGCUCGGCCUAUGUGGGUAUUAUAUAUUUUUAAAGCACUGUUCACGAUGUUUUUCGCCUCUUCGUCGACCACACGAUGACCUGGCAGAGGAUCCAGAAAAUAGACGGUCUCCUUCUUUGCUCUUACAAUCAGCAAGAUCCAAUGACGGCUGCACAAAAUUAAUAUAAAAACGACGGUUAUUUACAAAAACGACGUAUUAUAGUAUUUCACACGACGAAAUAAAGUAGAUAACGACGACAUUAUAUAUUUAUCACGACGAUAAAUAAAUACCGACGUGGUUAGUAGUUUCAAACGACUAAAUAAAAUAAAACACCGACGUGGUUAGUUUAUAAGCUGUCAUUUAUUGAAAAUCAUAAAAACAAAAUCCUAAGGAGACUAACCCUGGAUUGUAAGGCAUCAUGAAAAUCUGUUCACCGUCUGUCUUCUGAAGUCGAGCUGCUACCAGUCGUGAUCUUUCAGUUAUUGUGCCAGAGUUGGCACUAACUGUAGCAGGGUCGAUAAAGCUAACCAUGCUGCACAUAUUGGCUUGUUUCAAAACAUCGUGUAAGUACCUAAAUACAUAAAAUAAUAUAAACAAGUCAGCACAAACAAACACGACGGUUAUGUAUAAAAAAACGACGUAUUAUAAUAUUUCACACGACGUACUGAAAUAGAUGAGGACGUUAUAAUAUAUUUAUCACGACGGUAGUUAGUUAAGACGACGUGGUUAGUUAGUUAAGACGACGCAAUAUAUAAACCAACGAGGUAUUAUUUUAGAAGUACAAACCUCAUAUAUACAGCCAAUACAGUAGCUCCAAUUUCUUCCAUGCCUGCAAAUUGUGUAAUAUCUUCAGGCAGGAGGAAGGUAUCGUGCUCACCACCAAACACCUCCUUAUCAAUUGUAAAUUGGAGUGUCUUAUCCUCAGGCAGGAGUGUCGUUUCCACAAAAUGACAAAGGGUUUUUAAAGAAGAUGGCGCCUCCAUAUUUGAAUAAGCACCAACUUCAAUAACCUGUUUAAAGAAAUAAAAAAAAUGACGUGGUAAUUCAAUAAAGACGACGGUUUAAGGAAUAAAACGUCGUCUUAAAAGUAUUUAAACGACGGUGAAAAAACUGUCGUGGUAAUUCAAUAAAGACGACGGUUUUAUGAAUAAAGCGUCGUCUGAAACCAUUUAAACGACGGUGCAAAAACCGUCGUUUAAAUAUUUUAUUACGUCUUAAAAAAAGUCCGCCGUCUAAGUUUUAAACAAACGACGGAUUAAAUAAAAAUAUCGACGUCUGAAAUUUUGAAAAACAAAUAAAAAAAGGCAAAGUUAUGUGAACAUACCUUGUCGUCAUGCUUUUCUUCAUCUUCUUUCUCCUUUUCUUAUUCCUUCUCUUCAUCUCUUUUUUCUUCUUCCUUCUCUUCAUCUGGCUGAUGUUUCCCCAUUUUGGCAGUAUCAUCCUCCAAAUGUAGGGAUCUCACAUCACCUCCAGAGCAGCUAGCUUUGUCAGACAUUGGAUUUUUGGGGCUUUGGCUAAUUCUUGGUUUAAGCAUGCUUGGAUCAAAAUUGGGAAUUAAUUGGGAAAGCUGACUCAGGAAAUGCUCCCUCUCAGCCUCUACCAAUUGUUUUGUCCUAGCCUCCAUCCUUAAGGCUUCUUCCCUUGCCUUAGCCUCCAUCUUUUUAGUCUCUUCUUGAAGGAGAACUCUUAAACUGUCCUUCAAACGGUCGUCAAAGCUCACCCUCUGUGGUUUGGGCAAAUUGAAAUAUUGCCUUGGGGAAACACCAGCACCAACUCUCCUCACUCUGCCUGGAUGCUCGGGGCCCAAAGCCAUGGUCAGCACAUCAUUGCUGCCAUCUACUCUGACUUUGCCUUCCGAGACUUGUUUCUGCAAUUCAUCCUAAAACAAAGAUAAACAAAAAAACACACGACGGUUAUUUAUUUACAAACGACGUAUUAUAUAAUUUCACACGACGCAAUAACGUAUAAACCGACGUUAUUAUAACUUAUCACGACGGUAGUUAUACCGACGUGGUUAUUUAUUUAAAACGACGAAAUGAAUAAACAACCGACGUCUUAUGCUAUAAUUAAAGAAAACAGAGUAGUGAUUCCUAUUUAGACCGUUAACGACGUUUUUAAAAAAGUUUCGACGUGGUAAUAUCAUUCAAACGACGCGAAAAUGAACCACCGACGUCUUAUGCUAUAAUUACAGAAAAUUAGUAGUGAUUCCUAUUUAGACCUUUAACGACGUUUUUAAAAACUUUUCGACGUGGUAAUAUCAUUCACACGACGAAAAAUAUAACAUACGACGUAAUAAGAAUAAUUCACAGUUUAAUAAAAAUUUAAAACAGAGUGAUAGUAGGCUUACAAUUAAUUUUGCUUUCUCUGCCACCUUUGGAUCAGGGAUGUUACCAUGUUUGUCCUGUCUAGCUCUCUUCCAUAAGGUAGAUCGAUCAAUUUCUACCCCAGGCAUGGUUUCCUCCAAUUGAUCCUCCAAUCCAGCAUAUCCUUUUCGAGACAAUCGAUGAUUGUACUCGAGUUUCUUCCUAAUCUGUGCAUGUUGAGAAUGCACAGACUCAAAAUCUUUGGAUAGCCUUGAAGCUACAAAGGCAUCCCAUUGUGCUUUCUCUAUGAAUUUAUAUGUUUCAGGGGGUUGGCUUAAUUUCUCCCUGUCAUUGGUGUAUGGAAGGAUAUAAUGCCUCGUUAGUGUAGACUUGAAAUCCUUCCAUUUCUGGAAGCAGAAGCUAAAACAGAGGUCUUGCCCCCUUGGCCUACGACAAAAGCCAUGUCAACUGCUUCCCAAAUCUGCUCCUUUAUAUCCUUGGGGAUUUGGGACCAUUUCUUGUCCACAAGUGGGAUCCUGGAGCGUGCCAACACACCAAUAUACGACUGCAUCUCAAUAUGUGCUUGGCCAACACCUUUCCCCCUUUUAUUGUACUCAACAAUUGGCCUCAGUUUCUGAAGCUUUCUCUUCACAACACGAGGCAUUGUGCUCAUACCUCGACCAGUCUUUGAAUCAUCAGAGAUUGUUGUCUGGCUGGUUGGUUCUGUCUCAGCAGAUGAUGAAGCAAACUUCAUCUUCUUCGAAGACUUCAUCUCCUUCGAAGACUUGUCUUGAGGAGCUACCAUUCCAAGCUUCUUGGAGCCAGAAUCCUUAGUUUGUUGUUGAGAAACCAUUUUAACAGACAAAACUGCAAGUGAAAAUAUUUCAGGAAAACAUUAAGAACACAAACGACGGUAUUAAAAAAAUACGACGUAUGAUAUGAUUUUAGACGACGCAAUGAAAUAAUCUCAGACGUAAUAAAUGUUUAAAACCAUUAUUUAUAUAACGUCGUGGUAUAUAUGUUCACACGACGUCAAUAGUAAUACACCGUCGUGGUAAACUAUUAUUUAUAUAACGUCGUGGUAUUUAUGUUCAUACGACGUUAAUAGUAAUACACCGUCGUGGUAUUAACAUUCACACGACGUAAAACAAUAAGAUAUUUUGUCGUCUAUAUUAGAUACCAACCCUAGUUUCUUUUUCUUUAUAUUUUAUCAAAUAAGGGAAAAACAAAAACCAUUGUUCAGAGAAAUCAAACCUGCAAUUAAACAAGCAUAUAAAAAAAGACUAUUAUUUUAAAAACAACUUUGUCAAUUUUCAGACGACGCUAGAACAACUGACGAACCGUCGUGGUCUACCGUCGUCUUAUUUAGUUGAGGUAGUUGUCUUCAAAGUUGGAAACUUUCCCUCUUUGUCUGUAUAUUUUAUCAAAUUUGGAAAGAAGUACAAUGAUUUUGGCCAGAAAAAAGGUAAAAAGAUUUUUCAAACAAAAAACGUAUGAGCAUGCAAAACAGUAACCAAAAUAGUGAAAAUGAAAGCUUACCUUUUGCGUGCAAUGAAAGCAAGAGGAAGAUGAUCGAUGUUUAAGUUCAAGGACGACGAAGAAGACGAGAGGAAGACGAUGAGAAACUCUGACAAUGCUCUGACAAGGAAAAAAGACGAAAAGGUUUCUCUGGAGAUUGAAAUUUUUAAUCGGGUUUGGAAACAGUGCAUGUGUAAGUUCAAAAGUUGCUUACAUAUAAAACCAUUUCAAAAAAAUAAUACGGCGGUUACAUUUAACUACGUCGUUUUUAACUAACACGACGAAAUAUUUUUCGUUCGACGUGGAAUCAUUUCAUUUAACGUCGUUAGGUUUAAUAUAACCGACGUGGAUUUUAAUUUUUAAAUUAUGAAUAUAAUUUUUUUUCCCGUGACCUUUCAGUUUAUUUUUCAAUUACAGUGCGUUAUAAAUAGAGUUCUUUUUCCAGAGGAAAUUUAAAACGAAGGAAAUUAAUAUUCUGCAAUAUGUAAAGUUUCUUUUUUGGAUGACAGAUUUAAAUAAAAUAAGAAUAUAAAAAUAACUAAUGUGUAAGUCAAGUAGACGAAAAGUUGCUUACAUAUAAAAUCAUUUCAAAAAAAUAAUACGGCGGGUACAUAUAACUACGACGUAUAAAGUACAAAAUACGACGGUAAAUUUAACUUCGGACGUGGUAAAUAAAUACGACAGUAGUGUUGUAGGUACCGUCGUAGUAAACUCAAAAAUUAAAGUACAUAAGUAAUAACUCGCGUCAUGGUAGAUUAUUUAAGACGUCGUGAUUAUUAAUGUACCGACGUGGAGUUCUGUAAUAUACGUCAGUAAUACCGACGUUGAUUUUACAAUUUAAACGGCGGUUUUUUGGUAAGGACCGCCGUUGGUUUUAAAAAUUUAUUCUAUAAAUUUGUCGCUUUCAUUCAUUUUCGCGGUUUACAUUUAGGGUUCCAAGUUCUUCCUCUCUCAGAGACACUGUCUCUCACAUCUCAAAGACAAUAAUUUGGAGGUCUUUCUCAAAGAGAAAUUGAGCUUACAUUUAGGCUAGUUGACAAGAAGAAGCUUGUCAACUAGCCUUCUCACUUCCUUGAUCAAGCCUGAUAGGACACUUAGUGCUUCUGAAUACUCCUUGCUUUCCAUCAAAAGAGAUGCAAGCCUGGCCUCCACUCGUUGUCGAAGGAAAGUUCGCUUCUCAGGGAAAUCUGAAAAUCAGAUGUGCUUGAUCCUCUGCUUGAUUUUUUUGACUAAGAAGAUCCGUCAGAUUUAAGCAUGAGCAAUCGAAUCCGUAGAGCUUCAGAAGAAGAAGAAGACAUUGUCAAUGCUUUGAACUAUACAAGUCUGCAGAAAGAUAAAGGACCAAACUGUUAAAGAAACUGAAACAACGGCGGUUUUCUGUUCUACCGUCGUCUUUUCUCGUCGUCUAUAUUAAGGUAAGAUGGCGGUAGAUUUAUAAUUACCGACGUAGAUUAUUUUGUUAAACGUCGUUAAGUGUACUACAACCGACGUGGAUUUUAUUUUUAAAUUAUAAAUAGAGUUUUUUUUCCAGACUUCUUUCAGUUUUAGUUUUCAAUUACAAAGCGUGAUAAAUAGAUUUUUCUUUCCCGAGGAAAUUUAAAAUGAGGGAAAUUAAUGUUCUAGAAUUUGUAAACUAACACGACGCAAUAUUACUAACCCGAGGAAAUUAUAAAUAGAUUUUGCUUUCCUGAAGAAAUUUUAAAUUAAUUCAGUUUGAAACAAAACGACGGUUUUUUGUUAUGCCGUCGUUUUUAACUAACACGACAGAUUUAAAUAAAAUAAGAAUAUAAAAACAACGACUGUUUUUUUACUACUGUCGUCGUUUUUCGUCGUCUUAAGUAAGACUAAGACGACGUAAUAUAUUUGUUGAGCGACGUUGAUUUGUUUUUAAACGUCGUUAGGUAUAAUAUAACCGUCGUUGAAAAUUGUCUCUCUGAUUGCAAAUUUGCAACGACGUUGAUCAACUUCCAAAAAAUUGUCUCUCUGAUUGCAAAUCUGUGUCAUCUGUUAAGAUUAUUUUGUAUUUUAAAGCCGUGGAUUUGUUUGUAAUUAUACGGCGUCUUAUACGAAAACCUCGUCGUGUUAUUUUAUGAGUAAAAACGGCGGCUUUUAUUGAAAUCGUCGUCUUUACUUUCUACGUCGGUCUAUUCAUAACUUCUGCCGUUCUUUGUUUGCUUUGAUUUUACAUUGCGGAAAUCUGUUUCAAAUAGACGUCGGUUGUUUAAUUAGGUACGUCGUUGUUUUUGAACAGCCAUUUGAAUCUCCAUUUUUUAGUUGUCUAAGGUGGUAUUACACGACGGUGUUUUUAGAACCGUCGUCUUUUUAAAAACCACGACGGUUUUCACUUAGACCGUCAUUGUUUUCUGGUCGUCUUUUUCACUUUUUGUAGUAGUGUGGAAAACCAACUAGACCUAAAGAUAAAAGUUGUAAGGCCUGACAGAGGAGGAGAGUUCUAUGGGAGAUUCGAUGAGCUUGGAGGAAUCUUGGUCCUUUUGCAAGGUUUCUAUAGCAAGAAGGAAUCAUUGCUCAAUACACUAAUCCAUAGACUCCACAGCAAAAUCGAAUUGCAUAGAGGAGAAACAGAACUCUAAAGGAUAUGAUAAGAAGCAUGAUGUGAUGCACAAACUUACCAAUUUUUCUGUGGGGAGAAGCUUUGAACACAUCAAAUCACAUACUCAAUCGAGUACCAAACAAGGGUAUCAACAAUAUCCCUUAUGAAGUUUGGAAUAAGAAAAAAUUACGCUUGAAACAUUUGAAAACAUAGGGCUGCAAGAUAGAGGCAAAGCUUUAUAACCCUAUGGAAAAGAAGCUGGAUUCGAGAACUGUAAGUGGUUAUUUCAUAGGAUAUCUAGAUAGAACUAAAGGAUACAGAUUCUAUUGUCCUAAAAACACUACCAGAUUUGUAGAAACUCAGAGGGCAAUGUUUAUAGAAUCUGAAGGUGAGACAAUCGAAGAUGAAAAUUUUGAGUUUGAUGAAGAUAUUGCAGAAACUGGGGAAACAAUACAAACUGACAUUUUGGUGUUACUAAGUUUUGACUUGAAUGGCAAACAAAACAACCAAGAAGGGCAAACUGGUACAGACCCUAUGGUCACUGAAGAAGAAACUCAAGAAAAUCAAGUUUUACUACCCGAAAAUCAAGAUGUAGUUCAAACACAAGAAGGAACUAAUAAUCAGACAAAUGCAGGACUAAGAAGGUCAGAAAGACCAAAGAAACGUGCUUUACAUAAUGAUUAUGUUUACCUUCAAGACUCAGAGCAUAAUGUGAAUGACAUUGAGGAUCCUAUGAACUUCAAGCAAGCAAUGAUGAGUAACAAAAAUGAAAAUUGGUGGGCUGUUUUGAAAUCAUAAUUAGGUUCCAUGGAAAAUAAUGGAGUUUGGGAGCUUGUGCCUUUACCAUAAGGGAGCAAACCAAUUGGCUACAAGUGAGUGUUCAAAACCAAGAGAAAUUCGAAGGGGUGGAUAAAUAGAUAUAAGGCUAGAUUGGUUACUAAGGGGUUCACACAGAAAGAAUGAAUUAAUUUCAAUGAGACCUAUUCACUUGUCAUAACAAAAGACUCCUUGCAAGUGAUCAUGGCACUAGUAGCUCAUUUUGAUUUACACUUGCCUCAAAUAGAUGUUAAGACUACAUUCUUGAAUGGAAACUUGGAGGAAGAAAUUUAUAUGCAACAACCAGAAGGUUUCAUUCAAGAGAAUGGAGAAAAUCUGGUUUGCAAGUUGUGUAAAUCAAUCUAUAGUCUAAAACAAGCAUCUAGAGAGUGGUAUAAGAUUCAAUGAAGUUGUUAAACUAUAUGGUUUUACAGAGAAUGUCUUAGAUAAGUGCAUUUACAUGAAGAUGAGUAGGAGUCACUUCAUAAUUCUGAUUCUUUAUGUAGAUGACAUUCUGCUAGCUUGCACCAACAUGUCCAUGUUACACGAUUGCAAGGCAUUCCUGGCUAAACAUUUCGACAAUGACAGAUUUGGGAGAAGCCUCAUACAUUUUAGGAAUCGAAAUUAGCAGAAAUAGAAAGAGAGGUUUGUUGGGACUAUCAUAGAAAACUUAUAUAGAAAAGAUACUCAAAAGGUUUAACAUGCAAGGCUGUGCAAGGUCAGAUGUGCCUAUUUCGAAGGGAGAUAAAUUUAGUACUAAUCAAGCACCAAAGACUGAUCAAGGAAAGCUUGAGAUGGCAGAUAAACCUUAUGCAUCAUUAGUGGGGAGUCUCAUGUGUGCACAAGUAUGCACAAGACCUGAUAUUACUUUUAUAGUAAGUGUAUUGGGAAGAUUUUAGUCAAAUCCUGGACAAGCAUAUUGGAUUGCUGGUAAAAGAGUCAUGAGAUAUUUGCAGAGAACAAAAGACUAUAAGUUGGUUUACAAAAGAAGUGACAGACUGGAAGUAGAAGGUUAUGCUGAUGCAGAUUUUGCAAGUUGCAAAGAUGACUUGAAAUCUACAUUAGGAUAUGUUUUCCUAUUUGAGCAGCAAUAUCAUGGAGAAGUAACAAGCAACCACUCACAAUUGCAUUGACUAUAUUGGCAGAAUUUCUGGCUUGUUAUGAAGUAACCACUCAAGCUAUGUGAUUAAAGAACUUUAUCACUAGUUUGGGUGUGGUUGAAUCAAUUCAACAACCUAUACAUCUUUGGAAUAAUAACAGUGCAAGAGUACUUUUUGCAAAAGGGAAUAAAAGAACAAAGGCAUCAAGAAUUCUGGAAGUUAAAUUCUUUGCUGUCAAAGAAAAGACUAGAGAUGGGCAUACUGUGUUGGAGCACAUUGGCACAAAUGAAAUGGUUGCAGAUCCACUUACUAAGGGGUUACCAAAUGUUGUUUUUCACAGACAUGUGAUUAGCUUGGGAUUGACAGUUCAUUUGGAUGACUAAAACAAUGGGAGUUUUAUCAAGUUCUGGUAGUUUAACUAGUUUUGCUAUUUUCUAUUUAAAUUCAUAGAGUGGUGUUUUAAUUUGGAUGAUUUUCAGUUUAAGGAUUCGAAUAUAGUAUAUUUAUGCAAUGUAGUUUAUAUGCACAUGUGAUUACUUGAAUAUGUGUGGGUGGCAUAGCAUGCAUUUAAGCUAGCCAUGAGAAGAUUGUAUUCAUGACAGUUUGUAAUUUUUGUUAUGCAAAUUGAGACCUUGUUAGUCAUUUAUAGGGACAAAGGAAUUAGAUGACUUUUGUUUAAAGCACUUUCAGUAAGGUCAUCUACAUUCUAAAGUUUUAAUCUUGAUCGAAGCCUUAUGUGGUGUUGAAGAGUUUUAAGUGUGAAUAUAAAGACUUUGAUAACUGUAUGAUCAAUAAGUCUCUUAUAAUUUUUCUUCAUUAACAACUUAGUGGGAAUUUUAUCUGGAUAUACUUUCACAAGGCCUUAAAGUGAUCAAUACGAGUUUUCCUUAGCGAUUAUUUAACCAAGUGGGAGACUGUAAGACAAAUCCGUGUCUUAGUCUAAAUUGUGGUCUUCUAAUCAUAUCUGGUUUGGAGGAGCUCUAAUUGAUCAGGAAGUAUUAAUCCUAAUACAAGUAGGAUACUCAAUCAAACAGUGCGUUUACAUUGAGAUAGGAGUAUCUUAAGGAUUCCUAAUUCUAUAUGGAUUAAAACAUCCAAUUCCUAAGUAAACAAAAUCUGUUUGAGUACUCCUUGAUGGGUAAGGUACCGGAACAGAUGCUUAUAAAUAAGGUCCCUUUUGUAUCGGCUAAAAUACACUCAUAACAGAAAACUCACCCCAUCCAGAGAUAGAGAUAAAGAGCCGAGUUGGAGAAGAAGAUUCUUAUUCACAAUGUCUGAUCAAGGUUAGUAUUUGAGAUUCAAAGACAUGAUAACUUAUAGUAUAUAUGGGUUGUUAAGAUUUUAUCCAGAGAUUCAAAGAAAGCUUUUUUCUUUUUAUUAAACCCUUUUCAUCUUUUUCAAUGGUGCACAGUGCAAUAUCCGAGUGGGGAAAUUGGGAAAUUAAAGGAUGAAAAAUAAUAAUUGGGGCAUGCCAAAUUGGCAAAUGCGUAAAGGAGAUGAAGCCUAUCAAAAACAUCAUUUGUUGGCAAUGGAAACUGCAGGAUGAUUGGAAGUUAAGCCAUCUAAAAUCUCCAUCAGUAUCUCUCACUCACUCAUCUUUUGGGACAGAUUCCAGCUUUCUUCCACCACCCACUACAACCUCUCUGUCUACCCCACACCCAAGCAAGAUUCCAAUUAAUCAUCUUCGCUCUCUGAUAAAAGAUUCCUGCUGUUAAUUUAUUCGCACCAGAAAUUAGGGAUGGCCCAUUCACAAUCAAACAAACACAAGAUAACUUUGCUGGACCGCUCAUUUUCUUUAAUUCUACUAAGGCAAUUACAUUAUUGUGACAACGAUUGUCUUAAUCUCAAAUAUCUUCAAGUACAGAAAUGAUAAGUAUUUAGUCUGGAUCAUAAGAAUAUAGUGGUAAAUACAAUUAGUUUCUACCUCAACCUUUUUGAGGCAUUUCGACGAACUGUUUAAGGAAAAUAUCAAUAGAUAACUGAAUUGAUGAGCCAGAUUAAGAACAUAGAUGUCCGAGUGCAGAAUAUAGUAAUUUAUAAACAAAUGAAAAUAGUAUUUUUCCAGUAAUAAUUUUUGAAAAGAACUAAUGAUAGAGACCAAUUGUUUAAAUUAAACAACACUUUGUUUUCUUGUAAUACUUUCAAUUAGUUGGAUGAUUGGUGUGGUCUUCGUGGACUCAGUUGUUAGUUGGAUAAUUAGUUAAACGACUAUAAUUAGAUGUUUUAAAUAGCUUUCAAUUGUCUAAUAUUUCAUAAAAAUCAACUGUAAAUUACGACUCAGAUGGUUGAAAUACAAUUUACUUCAAAAUAACAAAUUAUUCAACGUGUUGAGAAUGUUGUAUAUGGAGUCUACAUAGACUUGACUAGUUGGGUGUUAGGCAAUUAUGAAUUGAAAAUAUUUGUCAUCAGUAAAUGCUUGGAAAUUAAUGCCAUGUUUGGUAUGUCUCAUUAUGUCUUAUUGGACUGGACUGUGUUGUAUAGUACUUGAAAUCCAUAUUUGAUAAUGGAGGGGAUUAACUUAAAUGGGAUUAUAUAGUUCAUCAGUGUAAAAAAGCUCCGGACUCACUUGUCUAAUAUAGCAAUGCUGAAAUGUGGUUCGUAAAUUAGCGAGAACGCUAUUUUGAGCAUGCAGUCCAACCCUUGGCUUGAAUUACAACUUUUUUUUUAAUGAAAUAGGAAGGAAAAAAAAAACACGAUAACAAAAAGAAAAGAGAGAGAGAGAGAGAGAGAGAGAGAGAGAGAGAGAGAGAGAAAUGCUAGGAAAAAAAAUAAAAACAGAAAAAGAGAGAGAAAUUAAUAAAAUAAUUAUUUUUUAGUCCGACACAGAAUCAAACAUAGGUCUUCACUAUUUUUACAAUUCAACUAUUUAAUCCGACGUAACACCAAAAGUAGCUCAAUAUUUAAUCCAGCUUACGCCAAACGAACCCUAAGCCCGAUAACCCCAGUUGACAUCGUCCCUGUCUCCAAUUAGCCUAUAUAAGGCCAAGGGUAUGCUUACAUUACAGCAGCAACUCAAUAAUCUAGAGGUAAUCUUGUUAAUUAUUCAUGGAAACUCCCAUUAUUUUUAGCUCCUCCUUCCUUAGGUUUUUCAUGGGUUUCUUCUCUGUACUUCUAUGCCUAAUUCUCUGCUCUUUCGAGAACGGAUUUGCUUCGGCAGCAAGAGAUACAAAACCCCACCUUCUGCCACAUACCACUCACACAGUUGAAGUAAACUCUCUUCUACCAGCAACCACCUGCAGCCCCUCCACCAAAGGUUAAUUCAUCCCAUAUUAUAUAUAUAUAUAUAUAUAAAACUUAAUUUCAAUGCAUUUAUGUAUCUCUAACACACACUCUCUCUCUCUAUGCAUACAUGUUUCGAUGAUCUCAGGUCAUAACAAUAACAAGGCAUCAUCGGUAUUGAAAGUGGUGCACAAACAUGGGCCAUGCUCCAAAUUCCACAAAUCAUCAAAAACUUCAACCACAACUAGUGAUGAAAAAUACCAUGCUCAAAUCCUCAAGCAAGACCAAGCCCGAGUCAACUCCAUCCACUCCCGCCUCAACCACAACAACAACAGCAGAAUCAAAGACCCACUCACCCAAUCCGCUGCUACCACCCUCCCCGCCAAGUCCGGUAUUGUUAUCGGCUCACCGAACUACAUUGUCACCGUCGGCCUCGGUACACCCGCCAAGCAACUCUCCCUCGUCUUCGACACUGGCAGCGACCUCACCUGGACCCAAUGCAAGGCAUGUUCUGCUACUCAGUCUUGUUACAAUCAGACUGAGCCCAUCUUCGACCCUUCUCUCUCCGCCUCAUACAAAAAUAUCUCAUGUACCACCGCCGCGUGUACUCAGCUCUCAUCCUCCGGCAUCGAACACCGCUGCUCCGCCUCCACCUCCGCCUGCCUCUACGCCGCCGGGUACGGAGACAUGUCCUUCACUAUCGGGGUCUUUGGCAGCGAAAAGCUUACAUUGACCCCCACGGACGUUUUUGAAGGUUUCCUCUUCGGCUGCGGCCUAGAUAACGAAGGCCUUUUCAGCGGAUCCGCCGGUUUGCUCGGUCUCGGCCGGAGCAGCACCUCCCUCGUCGAACAAACCGCCAAUAAAUACAACCGGUUCUUCUCCUACUGCCUCCCGUCUACUUCCAGCUCCACCGGUCACCUCACCUUCGGAGACGGAGGCUCCGCUAACGGCGUUAAGUUCACGAAGCUCAUCACGUCAUCCCAAAGCGAGUCGUUUUACGGCCUCGGCCUCGCCGGCAUCAAAGUCGGUGGGAGCCAGCUGUCGAUUGAGCCCUCAGUCUUUUCGUCUUCUGGAACGAUCAUCGACUCGGGGACUGUGAUCACGCGGUUGCCGGCGACGGCAUACGCGGCGUUGCGGGGCGCGUUUCGGGAGGCGAUGAAGAACUACACGCUGACUGAGUCGUUUUUGUUGCUGGACACGUGUUACGAUUUCAGCGGCUUGAACACGGUGACGUAUCCGAAGAUAGCGUUUAUGUUUGGGGAUGGACUUACGGUGGACUCGGACGCGACCGGGAUAUUGCUUCUGAUAAGUCCUUCGCAGGUUUGCUUGGCGUUUGCCGGAAACGAGGAUGAUAGUGACUUUGGGAUUAUUGGGAAUGUUCAACAGAAGAGGUUGGAGGUUGUGUAUGACGUCGCUGGAGGAAAAGUCGGAUUUGCCCCUGAAGGUUGCCCUUGAGUAAGGGAAAUACCCAUGUAGUUCUUAUUUUCUAGAUACUGGCCCCUGGCACAUGCAUGAUCUUGUGUCAAUUGGUUUUCUUUUAAAUAUAUAUUGUUUUUAGAAUUAAGAAAAGGUAAUAUAAAUAGUUAUGUUCUAUAAAAGUAGAAUCUAUUAUCUGAUUUUAUUUUAAUAUGAAUUUAUCAUAUUAUCCUUAUUUAAUUAAUAAUUUCAAUUUUUAAUGUUUGUAUUAAUUAAGGGCAUUUUUUGGUAUUUUAAAUAAUUUACCAUUCUCUGCAUUGCUUUAUAUAUAUAGAUAAUUUAACUAUUUCUAAAUAUUUAAGAUAAACCCAAAUUCGAAAUUUGCUGUCAUUUAAGAUAAUAUUUGUCCUAGUAUUAUCAAUUAAAUUACAAUAUGUGCCAUUAACCUUCGUUUGUUUGCAACUGUACAUUGAUUCUUUUCCUAAUAAACACUGUAUAGUCUCUUGGAUGCAUGAUCCCUUCCUUGCCGUAAAUUUGUAUUGAUUUCAUAAAAAGUAAUAAUCAAAAUAAUUGAUGUACUGAUUGGAAUUUGUUUUUAUUAUAUAUAAAUGGCACGUAUAUUAUUUUUACAAUGUGCCUACAAUGGUGCUCAUUUUUAAAUAAAAAUAAUUUACCUGUAUGACAUGUACUUAUAUUGUACCUUAUUAUCUUUUAUUGAUAAUAGGAACAUUAUGUAUUUUAAAAAGAGGUACGUUAUCUUAUAUUGAUAAUGUCAAUUUAUCUAUUAUCUCUUAUUGAUAAUAAUUUGGGAGAUUUUGGAAAAGCCCAAAGGAGAGAGAAAAUUUUUAAAAGAAGCCGAAAUGGACAAAAUUGCCCUUAUUUAUUUUUUGAUUUCUUAAGGAAUCUUUUACAUUUGCAUGUCUUUGGUUUGAAAGUUGAGAGGUUUUUCUGUCUUUUUUGAAAAAGCUUUGGCUUUUUUCAAAAGUGAAAAUUUUUUUAUGGGUAAAACCUAAAUUUACUUAAUAAAUAAUUUACCUAUUAUCUUGUACUAGCCUCUUUGCGUGCGCUUCUGCGCUUGCGAGAGGAUUUUUUUUAAAAAAAAUUUAUUUUAGAAUUAAAAAAGAUAAUUGGUAGUUGUGUUUCAUAAAAAUAGGAUCCAUUAUUUGAAUUUUCUUUUAAUUUUAUUUUUUUAAUAUGAAAAAGUGUGAAUUUACUAUAAUAUCCUCAUUUAAUUAAUAAUUUCAAUUCUUAAUAUUUGCAUUAACCAAUGGCAUUUUUUGGCAUUUUGAAUGUUUUAACAUUCUCUGCCUUUUGCUUUAUAUAUAUAGAUGAUAAUAGGUAAAUUAUUUUUAUAAAAUAUUUGGUACAUUAUUUUCAAAAAUGCGUUAAAUGAGUUGGGUAUAUUAUUUAAAUCAUAAGUAAAUCAUAAUAAAAAAAUGAUGCAUAAAGAGUAUUGAAUUGCAGUUACCAAAAAAACAAGUACUGAAUUGCAGGCUAAUUCCAGGUACUAAGACUUAAUACACCUACCAUAUAACAGGUUAAUUUGUAAAUAGGGGUAGUUUUGGAAUCUGAAAAAUAUAAUAAAUCAUAUUUUAAGUUAGAUUAGGUAACUUGCUUAGUUGGAUCUUAGUCAUAAGGUUUUAUUUGAAAAAAUUGGAUAUUUUAAAUAGAAAAAUAAAGAGAAGAACUACAGGUGAUUAAAAAUGAAUUUUAUGAGUCUAAGCUUAAUUUACUAUUCUUUUUUUAAUAUAACAUUUGUGUUUUAAAAAGCAAAAGGAAGACAAUAUGGUUUUUAUUUUUGUAUUGAAGUGAUAUUAUAAACUGAACCUAGAACUUUAGAUAUGGAAUAAAUAUUCUUAACAACUCGAAAAACAGCAGUUUGAAGAAAGAUUAGUGAACAUUCCAAAGUUUGGUGUACGGAUAUAGUUAAACUGAUUGUUUGAUCAGUUUAACUAUGGACUCUGUUGACUCAUUGACUUUGGGACCCAUGAGUAGUCGUGAGUCGUGACUAGGAAGGAACAGAAACGCAUGCAUGAUGCAUGCAGUACCUUCCUUCCAGACUCCGAGUCCACUUGGUAUUAAUUACACUAUUGACAUAUUGUAUGCAUAAUGUAUGUAUGUGUAUUGACAGAGAACCUUCUUACCUUCAUUUUCAUUUUUUGUCUUUUCCUUGAAAGAUAAUUAACAUAAGAGAACGGGUGGACAAAGUCGAUCGACCAAAAAAUGACAACAAAAAAAUUGUAACGGGUUAGGGCGGGGUUUGAGAACGAUGGUAUGGAGCAAAUGCUAGAAAAUUAAACCCUCCAAAUAGUUUAUAUAAGGCCAAUAGUAUGCUUAAACUUAAAUCUACAGCUAGCUAGGCUUGUUAACUAUAUUCAUUUCUAGCUCCUCCUCUUUCCUCAGGUUUUUUCAUGGGUUUCUUCUCUGUGUUUCUGUUCCUAAUUCUCUGCUCUUUCGAAAAGGCCAUUAUUGCUCUGGCAGCAACAAGUCCAGAACCCCACCUUCCGCCACACACUACUCACACAGUAGAAAUAAACUCUCUUCUACCAGCAACCACCUGCACCCCCUCCACCAAAGGUUAAUUCAUUUCAAACCCCAUUUUAAUUACGCUGUUAAUUCUCUCUCUCUCUCUCUCUCUCUCUCUCUCUCUCUCUCUCCCCCUAUAUAUAUAUAUAUAUAUAUAUAUAUUCAAUAUUCAUAUAUUGUCUGGCUAUAUACGCUGUUAAUUCCAAUGGCGCAUGGGAGUAGAGACUGUGAAAUUCCCUCUAAUAUUCAUAUGCAUAGAAAAACAUACACAUUUUUUUUUUAAGUUUAGCAUAUUAAACUUAUACACACUACACAAAUGCUAUGACUCAACUCUAGAACCUUCCAUAAAAAAGCUAUUAUUCUAAAUCACUACACUAGUUGAUCUUUUUUUUUUAAAAAAAAAAACACACAUAAAGAGCCCCGUGCUUGGCCAAAAAAAAAUCUAAACCAAAUUUACUCUUUUUUUUUAUUUAUAGUAAAUUGAGCUUAGACCAAUAAAAUUCAUUUUAAGUUACCUACAACCCUUUCCUUUAGUUUUCUAUUUAAAAUACCCAAUUUUUUCAAAUAAUACCCGAUGAUUAUGAUCCAACUAAGCAAGUUACCUAAAAUAACUUAAAAUUUGAUUUAUUGUAUUUUUCGGAUUCCAAAACUACCCAUAUUUAUAAGUUAAUAAGUUAUAGGGGGUGUAACUAAUGACACCCGUUGAAUUUAGAAAGAUCUCCAAAUAGUUAUAAUGGAUGUAGGAACUAAUUCAAAAAUUUAUUUGAAAUUAAAUAUUAAAUUCCACAUUGAAGUAUUAUUAAUCUAUUUUACGACUAGUAAUCUAUUUUUGAAUUAAUGGUGUUUUUCUUCUAUGAAUUACGACUAGUAAUCUAUUUAAAGUAUUAGUAAUUUAAAUUCAAUAUUAAAUUUAGGAAUUAAUGUUGUUUUCUUUUUAUGAAUUAUACGACCGGUAUUCUUUUUAUUAUAGUUUUAUGAAUAAUAGUGUACGUUCUAAUUAUAUUGAAAAAUAAUUUGAUAAUCUAUUUAUUGUUUUGUUUUUAAAAUAUUUUUUUUAAUGAACCUAUUUUUCUCCAAAUAUUGUACCUAUUUUUUUCUUUUUUAUUGUUUUAUGAAAAUAUAUUUGAUCAUAUUUUUAUUGUUUGUUUUAUGAAAAUAUUUUUUUUACAUGAGCCUAUUUUUUCUCUCAAAAUAAUGUAUCAAUUUUUUUUCCUCUAAUAAUGUACCUAGUAAAACAAUUUACCUAGUAUGAUGAACCUAUUUUUUCUGCUGAAUUUUGUAUCUAUUUUUUUCUAUAAAUAAUGUACCUAUUUUUUUUCUCUAAUAAUGUAUACCUGGUAAAACAAAUUUUCUAGUAUAAUGAACUUAUUUUUUUCUUCUAAAUAAUGUGCAUAUUUUUAAUUUAUAAAAAUGUGUAUAAAUUUCAAUUAUACAACGUACCUAUUUUCUAUAAAUUAUUGUGUACCUAUUUUUAAUUUAUGAAAAAUGUACGAAAAUUUCAAUUACGAAGUAACUGACCUAUUUUUGUCAAAUUUUUUCGGUAAAUAAUAUACCGAUAUUGUUAUAGGUAUAUAUUUAUAUUUAUAUUUUUCAUAUGUGCAUUAUUGGAUAUGUAAUUUACAUAUUAUUUUUUUUAUUUGCAAUUUUAAGGGGCCAUAUGCUAGAGAGAAUGGCAACCGAAAGAAAUGGGGUGAUUGAUAUGCUAUUAAUAGGGAGUUUUAAUUACAAUUAUGGCAGUUAAUGAAAGGCUUGGAAUAAAUUAUAAAUAAAAUAUGAAGUUUGAUGGCAAUGAUGUAAAAACAUAUGAAUACUACGACCUCUUAUAUCCUACUGGUCAUUUAAGUUUGAAAUUGCGUUUUACACAUAAAUUUAUAGAAUGAUGGGUAUAUGCCUGGAAAAAUAGAAUUUGUAGGGCAUAUAUAGUAACAAAGAAAAACAACAAAAUAACAUAGCCCCCGUGCCCCAUUACCUUUGUGUCUCUCUCACCCACAUGGCAUGCAUGGUCUUGUUACCCGUAAACUAGUGGCAGGCAUGCACAGAUGGAUAUAAUUGUGAAUAUAUGCAUAAAGAGUCACAUGUAUACAUACACUCAUCCCUUUCAAUGACCAGGUCAUACCAAUAACAAGGCAUCAAUAUUGGAAGUGGUACACAAGCAUGGGCCAUGCUCUAUAUUCCACAAAUCAUCCAAAACUUCAACCACAAAAAGUGAUGACAAAUACCACGCUCAAAUCCUCAAGCAAGACGAAGCCCGAGUCAACUCAAUCCACUCCCGCCUCAACUACAGAAUCCACGACCCAUUCACCCAAUCCUCCGCCUCCGCCACCCUCCCAGCCAAGUCCGGUCUCCUUCUGGGCUCACCGAACUACUUAGUCACCGUCGGUCUCGGCACACCCGCCAAGCAACUCUCUCUCGAAUUCGACACCGGCAGCGACCUCACCUGGACCCAAUGCCGCCCAUGUCUUCGAUAUUGUUACACACAGAGCGAGCCCAUCUUCGACCCUUCUCUCUCUGCCUCAUACAAAAACUUAUCCUGUACAUCCGCCACGUGUACUCAACUCUCAUCCGCCGGCAUCCCACACCGUUGCUCCUCCGCCUCGUCCUCCUGCCUUUACGGCAUCCGGUACGGUGACGGGUCCUUCUCCAUCGGGGAUUUCGCCAAAGAAAAGCUUACAUUGACCUCCAUGGACGUUUUUGAAGGUUUCCUCUUCGGCUGUGGCCAAGACAACCAAGGCCUUUUCAACGGCUCUGCCGGUUUGCUCGGUCUCGGCCGAAACAACAUCUCCCUCGUAGAACAAACCGCCAUGAAAUACAACCGCUUCUUCUCCUACUGCCUUCCGUCAACUUCCAGCUCCACCGGUCAUCUCACCUUCGGCAACGGAGGAGGCUCCGCUAACGGCGUCAAGUUCACCAAGCUCACCACGUUAUCCGAAAGAGAGUCGUCGUUUUAUGGCCUCGGCCUCACCGGCAUCAGCGUAGGCGGGUGCCAGCUGCCGGUUGCGUCCUCGGUCUUUUCGUCUUCGGGAACCAUCAUCGACUCGGGGACGGUGAUCACGAGGCUGCCGGCGACUGCAUACACGGCUUUGCGGGACGCGUUUCGGGAGGGUAUGAAAAACUACACGAUGACUAUGUCGUUUUCGCUGCUGGACACGUGUUACAAUGUCAGUGGCUACGAGACGGUGUCGUUUCCGGAUAUUGCGUUUGGAUUUGGGGACGGGGUUACGGUGGACUUGGACGCGGCCGGGAUAUUGUUGGCGGUAAGUGAUUCGCAGGUUUGUUUGGCGUUUGCGGGAAACAAGGAUGAUAGUGACAUUGGGAUUAUUGGGAAUGUUCAACAGAAGCGGUUGGAGGUGGUGUAUGACGUGGCUGGUGGAAAAGUCGGAUUUGCCCCUGCAAGUUGCCCCUGAGUAAUGAACAUCGUCCAUGGGGCAUAAUUGUAACACAAACUGCUAGCUAUAGAAUAAAGCAUUGUGUUCCAUAUUUUUCUGUAAUGGGAUUGUAUUGGGAAGUAUCCAAUUCUUACCUUUCCCCACUACUUGUAUAAAAUAGUCUAAUGACCAAUCAAGCGAUAGUAUUUUAUAUAAUAAUAAAAUAAUCGAAUGUAUUGGAAGGAAAAUUCCAACUCAAAUACAAAAAGGGGUUUAUUGCCCUAAUCAAUUCUCCUAACUCACGUAUGUUGUCGGUGUUUUGAAGUAAUGCCACGUGUUAAUGUGCUGUUUCUCUUUUGAAAUAGCAAAAGUAGAACACUAAUCUCCAUCUCCUAGUUUGGGCUUGUUUUGCUUUUGGACUCGACCAGGCCAACUUUAGCACAAAAUGUCUUAAGAAGGACCUAAAAGAAAAUAAAAAAAGAAAAGGUCAAUGAAUUGGGAAGGCUUUGGCUUGGGCUUGGGGUGGUUCAGCUUCAAAUUUUAACCAGUGCCUAGGGUUCAGUGUAUUGGUUUCAGCGGAAAGGCUCGUCAGUCUGCAGUCUGUGUCUUGGGCUGCCUAUCCUUAACUAACCACUUUCUGAUUGCUUUGUGUAUGGGCUUUUUUUUUUCGGCAGCUACAAAUGGGCUAGGCUGCUAUAAGGAGCGAAUUGAUAAAAUUAUCUCUUGUGUUUAAGUUCAAAGAUCAAGCCCCAAGAAUGCUUCUAAAGGAUAGUGAAGCCUUAAGAAACACUUUGGUUACCUUCACCAACAAAAAUAACAACAGCUUACAGAUAAAUUCUUAGCUUGGCAUGAGAAGCUUGUGGCAUGGGAGCUAAGCAUUCAUGAAUUUAGCAUGAGAGAGAGAAAUGAUUGAGAUUUCCUAUGAGAAAUAGAGUUUUUAAGGCAUGAGGGAAGGGAUUCUAAAAGGAUUUGUUGUGGAGAGAGAGGGGGAGAGAGAUGAGGGCAAUGGGUGGCUUAAGUGUUUUUCCACCAGCUUGACAGAGGCUCUGUCAAAUGUUAAAACAGUCUACCAAAAAAGGGAAAAUGGGAGAGAAUGAUGAAUAUAGCACGAAUUUGCUAGGUUUUGCAAGUGAGAGAGGAAGCUUGCUCUCUGGACGUGGUUGUGGCUAGUGGUGGAGUAUUGGGUGUUUUUGGUAGUUUUUCAGCAGCCUGACAAAAGCUUGCCAGAAGAGAAAAUAGAAGGAGAUGGAGGAAUAGGGCACGAAAUUGCAGAGUUUCAGAGAUGAGAGAUGAAGCUUGCUCUCUAGAUGUAGGUUGAGAUAAUUGGUAGGAAAUGCUUCUUUUUAUAGGCAUUAGAAGCUACUUUUUUUCAAGAAACCCUAAUAGUUUCUAUCCAAUUUGGCCAAGCUUUUUUCCUUCAUUUCUUCUCCAUUCCUUUGACUUAUCCUAUUUGGUGAAAUUCUCUCUGCCCAAUUGCACAAAAACAGAGAUUUUGGGAGCUCAAUGCUCUUCUCACAGCUGCCUCAGUAGAGAACUCCCAUUUUCAGCCAUCUUUCUUCCUUCUUUACUCCCCUCUUCUAUGGCUAGAUCUGAUGGGGGGGAAAGAAAUGGGUAUGUACACUGGUUUGAAGGGUGUUUUGCUCAAGUAUCCCUUGGUUUUUCUGAUGGCUUGCGUUGGAUUUGUCUUUGGCCAUGUGCUGGAGAUUCCCAGCAGCCUGCAAAUGUGAGUGGCUUUUGGCUUUUAUCAUGGUUUUGUCUCCAACCAUGUACCGGAGACUUUCAAAUAUUUUGUUGGUCACUUGGGCCAUUCUUUAAGGUAAAGGCGCUAGUUCACUAAAGGGAUGGGCCAACUUCCCAAAGUGAUGGGCUAUCUUUUCUAAGGUAAUGAGCUAUUUUCUCUCCUUUAUGUUUACCCACAUAUUUGGGCUCAAGAAAUGGACUUGAGUUUCGGGAUUCCCAAGCAGCCCAAAACUUCCAUUUCUCAGCUCAUCAAUAGGCCUCAUGAAAGCUCGUAACCAUCUAUACCACAACCCAAUCAGCAAGCCCAAGGCAUUCGCGUGGCUUGGGUCCACUUAAACUUGUAGUGUGGCGUGUUGCUUAUUUGCUUGGCGUGGCACGUGUGCAAGCGUAUAUGAUGAACUCUUGCGUACCUAAAUUAGGUUUCUUCCCAAGUUAGGUGUCGUACUAGGCCGAGAAUUUAUUCGGGCCCAACAGUGGAUUUUUUGAACCUCAACACUUAGGUAGCAAAAAUCAGAGGACACAGAGAGAUAGAGAGAGGGAGACAGCCACAGACCAUCAAGUACUUUAAGUUAGGUUUGAUUCAUGAUAUUAACUGACUCUUAUAUUUGCUUUAAUAUCCAUGUGGAUGAAAUUUAAAAUGUGAUAUCAUGUGGUUAAGUAGUGGUGUAGGAUUUGUCUUUCAAUGGUUUCAACCAAUUUCGUGGAUGUUAAGAUUGAUAUAGGUUGGUUGACAAUAGGUAGAUCGUCCUUAUCGUUUCUAAUCCUAAUAUGACAAUGCCUUAUAUUAAUUUUCUAAUUUUUGGUUGAAUAUCUUAUUUGAACAAAGGCAUCUGAAAAUUUGAUCAUUUUGAUGUGUAGAGGCCAUUGUUACACUUCGCAAAGAAAAAUAAUGUAUAUCUUUUGCUGGACAAAAUUACGCUUAUAUAUAUGUGCUGGCUAGUGUGUUCCAUUUCUUUUUGUUUUGUUAUUUGGCAAAUGUUACACUUUUGUACAGGGGAACAAUACCACCCAUCUUUCCUUUUGAAGUGUUAUUUGAAGAAAAUGAUUUUGAAUGAUUUGAAAGAAUUACAUAUGCACUUUAAAAAAAAUGCAACCUUCAAAAAUACAUCCAAAUAGCUAAAUAAAGUAUUUCUUGUUUGUUUUAUGGGAAAUAUGAAACUUUGCUCCCACAGAUGAUAUUGACGGAGAAAAGAAAGAAUUUUCGUUCCUAAACCAAGAAGAGAAAUCACGUGGGUUUUUGAUCAGAAGAGGAGAUUGGAAUGAGUAGGAGGGUAUUUUAGAAAUUUUCUCCCCACUAAAAAUAUUAUCAAAAUAUUAAAUAGAAAGUUUCUUUUAAAAAAAGAAUAAAAGAUAGAGUCAAAAGUUAUUAACAGCUGGCGUCAUCUCAUUAGGCUGGGACACUGACGUGGACAGCUGACCAUAGCAUACCCAUGGCAGGGAAGUUUUUCUCCAGUGGAGGAGACUGUGCAGAAGAAGAUAGCCUUUUUUCUUAUGCUUUUCUUUCCUCUGCCCUUCUCUUUUCUAACUUGCUAUCAUGGUAUGGUUCUGAGCUUUCUCAUUCUCACGUCUUUGUUGUUGUAAUUCUAUCUGAGAAAUUUAUAAAAUUCUUCUCUGUAUUCUUUUUGGUCAGUUGGGUGAGUGCUGUUUGAUUGCCUUGUUGCUUUUUUUCUUCCCUGAUCUAGGGUUUAGGGUUUCAAACAUUUUAUUGAGCUUGAAGAGGAAGUGAUGAUGAUAAAGCAAGGACCUUUUGAUAAAGAUUACUACUUCCUGAUGUGGGCCUUUGACCAUAGAAAGAGAUCAGAUAAAGCAAGGAAAUGGGAGAAAAUAUACGCCCUUUGGCAUUUGAUGGUCCUUGUUGCUUGCUUGUAAGUUGUAAUUGUCGGUGAGCAGGCUUAGCUAAAGAGAGUAAAGGAAAGCAACAGUGAGAGAGAGAACUCUCCCUCCUCUCUUUUCCACACUUUCUCUCUCCAUCUUCUUUUCUUUAUCUCCUUUACUUUGCCACACCCAAAGCAAUACUUACUAAACUAACUAAUCCAAAAUGAUUAUUAAUUUAUUAACUGGGGUUAAUUGCUGCAGCCUUCAUCCCAAAGCAAUACUUACUAAACUAACUAAUCCACAGGCUUCUUGUGAGGCAAUCUUUUCUCUUAUUCAAUUACCCCAGUUAAUAUGAAACUGUUGAAAUCAAUAUUUAUAUAAAUACAAUUGCGAAAAAAUAUUUACGAAAUUUUGUAAGUAAUACGUAGAGCACGUGAUUUAAAAAAAAUAUCUCACAUAUGAGAAAGCGCGUACAAAAAGACUAAUAAAACAUAAACAAAAAGGAUAAUCCUCAAGGGGAGCCACUAAUUAUUGAUCAUAUACCAGACAACUCCCAUCUUUAUAUAACUUCCAUUUUCAUUUUUCUUUUAAUUUUGUAAUUUGUAAUUUGGAUUUUUGGGAGGUGGAGUGGGAUAAGAAUUAUAGGGUGCGGUUCGUGUACCUAGGAAACCGCCACGUUCUUUCUUUAGGAAAUUUGGGAUAAAGUUAAAAAAACAUAAGUUGGGAGGUAGUGAAAUUAAAAGCAAGGCCAUGUGUUUCAUGAAUCAAAAUCAGACAGUUUUGUGUCCCAGUGAUGCAGAGAUAUAUACAAAUAUCAUUUAGACUUUUGCUUUUGGGCUUUGAUCAGGAUCUGAUCCGUUAUCUCAUCACCUUUUUUUUUUCUUUUUCCUUUUUUUACUCUUCAGUUUCUGCAUGUGCGUUACACUAACAUCAUUACUAAUCUCCUUUUUAUCUAAGCUGUCUUUCUGUAAAGGUAACACUGAUAUUCCUUCCCCAUAAUUCAAAGAAAAAAGGAGUUUGAGAUGUGGAAAUAUGGAUUCCCGAAUCAAAACUUUUUGAUUUUGUUAACGAUUAUAGUGGGCCCAUCAGUACUGGGAAUUUGUCUGCUUAUUUUGAAUUGAAAGCUACCUCUUGUUGGAAAACCUUAAAAGUUGUUUCUUUCCAAGCCCACUUACACUUGCUGUGUAAACUAAUGAAGUCUACAUGAAAGCAAUCUCAUGUCCUAUUGUGUAUAUGCAUGUGCUUAAUUGGUGUAUAUUCUGUAGUACCACAACAGAAUGUUUAACAUUCAAUUGGGGCUAAUUCCAUGAUAGAGUGGUAAUUGAACAGUAUCAAUACAUCAAUAAGUGCACAGUUGGGUAUACACAAUGAUCAAAAGGAGACAAAACAUAACAGCGGUUUAAGUGUUUCAUAAGAGAGUAAAAUAGAAGAAAUUGAGAACUGUUCAUAAGCAAAUCUGCCCAUUCAUAAGCAUACGUCUAAUUAUAAAAUCAAAGAACAAGAUACUGAAUAAAAAUAAAGUGAGAAAGAGAGAUUGUUAAAUGCUCUCAGCAACCAAUCAUAUUGUAAAAUGAGAAAGAGAGAUGAUUGUCGUCAAACCUUGCUACAACGGCCGAGAUCUUUGGAUCCACUAGAAUCUCCCCUUUCAGCUUCAACCCCAGAUAUUUCUUUGUCUUUGUACCUCUCAACCUUGAAAGCCCUUGGAACAAGGUGGUUCUAUAUACCAGACAAAAGAAACCAAUUAUCAAAUUUAAUCAGAAACUCACAUUACCAACAAACAAAACCCAGCUAUCCAAAAAAAUUCAAGAAACCAAAAGACAAAGGGAAUAGAAAAAGCAAACUGACAUUUGAUUUCAAAAUCCCCAAUUUCUAGGGUUUGAACUGAUGAGAGCGAGGAGGAGAGAUGGACGAAAAGAUAGAGAGAGAGAGAGAGAGAGAGAGAGAGAGCACGCGAGCUUCAAGCUUCUCCCAUGGAAGCUAGCUUGAGUGAGAACCAGUAGCACAGAGCGAACCAGCAGAUCCAACGACAAGAGAAAAAAAAUUCAAGAAAAACGCAUUUGUUUUGUUUUGAAUAAUAAGGGUCUUUUUGCAAAUGACCCCAUUGGUGUAGUGGUUUGGAGUAUUUACUCCCUCAGACAAGGUCUUGGAUUCGAGUCCUAGCAUCCGCAUAGUGUGUGUGAGUUUAGUAUGCUAUCGCCCCUCUCAAUGAGUCCUGUUUACCUGUUACCAAAGUUCCUGUGGCCUCCUGUUUCCCUGCUAGUUUCGUGACAUGUGGCAAGCCACUUAACACCACUUAACUCUGUUAACUCUUUUUGCUUCUUUUUAUUGUUUGUUUUUUUUGCUUUUUCUCCCAGUUCUGCCCCUUGAGGGUUUAGGGUUUAGGGUUUAGAGCUGGUGUUUCGGCUCGAGUCCAUGUGUUGUUUUGGGCUGGUAAGGGAAAAAUGAGCGGAAAAGAUAAGAGAAGGUAGGGAAAAAGGGGGUGAAGGAGAAACUAAAAAAAGAAAUAAAAAAGGAGAUGAGAGAAAAAGAAAAACAAAGCAAAAGCAAAAGCAAAAAAAAAAAAGAAGAGAGAGAGAGAGAGAGAGAGAGAGAGAGAGAGAGAGAGAGAGAGAAUGUGGAGGUAGAGAUCUGGAAAAGAUAACAAAAAAAGAAGAAGAGGAGAGGAGACGACGGAGGGAGGGGGAGAGAAGAGAGAAAGGGGCAUAACAGGGAGAAAAAGAAAAAAAGAAAAAAAAAGCAAAAAGAAGCAAAAAGAGUAAACAAAGUUAAGUGGUUUUAAGUGGCUUGCCACAUGUCAUGAAAUUAGCAGGGAAACAGGGGGCACAGGAACUUUAGUAACAGGUAAAUCGGACUCCCUCUCAAUAGGAAAUAUCCACAAAACACAAAAGAAAAAAAGGUCUUUUAAAAUUUGUUUUGGAAUUGGAUUUUUAAAAAUAGACCUACCAAACGAGUUUUUGGGCUUUUGAAUUUAAAAUCAGUUUUUGAGUUUAUAAAAUUGGACUCAAAUCAAAUACCAAACAGACCCUUAAAGACUUAAUGUUUUCUUAAAAUAUUGCGUUUGUUUAUUUUAUAGAGUACAAUUAUAUGUUUUAAAUAAUUUUCAAAUUAUCUAAUAUUUUUUAAGAAUCAACUGUAAAUUAUGCCUGACGGUGAAAAUACAAUUUACCUCAAAAAUAACUAAUUAUUUGACGUUAUUUGACGUGUUGAGAAGGCUAAAUAUGGAGUCUACAGAAGUCUAGAGAGACUUGACUAGUUGACAUCCCUGUCUCCAAUUAGCCUAUAUAGGGCCAAGAGUAUGCUUACAUUACAGCAGCAACUCAAUAAUCUAGAGGCACUCUUGUUAAUUAUUCAUGGCAACUCCCAUUAUUUCUAGCUCCUCCUUCCUUAGGUUUUUCAUGGCUUUCUUCUCUGUAUUUCUAUGCCUAAGUCUCUGCUCUUUCGAGAACGGAUUUGCUUUGGCAGCAAGAGAUACAAAACCCCACCCUCUCCCACAUACCACUCACACAGUUGAAGUGAAGUCUCUUCUACCAGCAACCACCUGCAGCCCCUCCACCAAAGGUUAAUUCAUCCCAUAUUAUAUAUAUAUAUUAAUUUCAAACCCCAUUUUAUGUGCAUUUAUGUAUCUCUAACACACACACACACACUCUGUCUCUGUCUCUCUCUCUCUCUCUCUCUCUCUCUCUCUCUCUCUCUAUGCAUACAUGUUUCAAUGAUCUCAGGUCAUAACAUUAACAAGGCAUCAUCGGUACUGAAAGUGGUGCACAAACAUGGGCCAUGCUCCAAUUUCCACAAAUCAUCAAAAACUUCAACCACAACUUGUGAUGAAAAAUACCAUGCUCAAAUCCUCAAGCAAGACCAAGCCCGAGUCAACUCAAUCCACUCCCGCCUCAACCACAACAACAACAAAGACCCACUCACCCAAUCCGCCGCCACCACCCUCCCCGCCAAGUCUGGUCUCGUUAUCGGCACAGGGAACUACAUUGUCACCGUCAGCCUCGGUACACCCGCCAAGCAACUCUCCCUCGCCUUCGACACCGGCAGCGACCUCACCUGGACCCAAUGCAAGGCAUGUUCUGCUACUCAGUCUUGUUACAAACAGAGAGAGCCCAUCUUCAACCCUUUUCUCUCCGCCUCAUACAAAAAAAUCUCAUGUACCACCGCCGCGUGUACUCAGCUCUCAUCCAUCGGCGUCCAACACGG
This 37257-nucleotide long non-coding RNA is filed under the name Prunus persica (peach). RNAcentral describes it as "long non-coding RNA (PPER_LNC001429)". Lineage: Eukaryota; Viridiplantae; Streptophyta; Magnoliopsida; Rosales; Rosaceae. The record is from RNAcentral.